GCCCUCGUAGUUCAACGGAUAGAACAGCCCCGUCCUAAGGGGUAGAUGUGUGUUCAAUUCACGCCGAGGGCA
RNAcentral lists this transfer RNA (72 nucleotides) under Candidatus Vogelbacteria bacterium. Its description in RNAcentral is "tRNA-Arg". It matches the Rfam family "tRNA". Rfam says of the family: Transfer RNA (tRNA) molecules are approximately 80 nucleotides in length. Their secondary structure includes four short double-helical elements and three loops (D, anti-codon, and T loops). Further hydrogen bonds mediate the characteristic L-shaped molecular structure. tRNAs have two regions of fundamental functional importance: the anti-codon, which is responsible for specific mRNA codon recognition, and the 3' end, to which the tRNAs corresponding amino acid is attached (by aminoacyl-tRNA synthetases). tRNAs cope with the degeneracy of the genetic code in two manners: having more than one tRNA (with a specific anti-codon) for a particular amino acid; and 'wobble' base-pairing, i.e. permitting non-standard base-pairing at the 3rd anti-codon position. The record is from RNAcentral. Lineage: Bacteria; Candidatus Vogeliibacteriota.